Trichechus manatus latirostris (Florida manatee) is the source of this 106-nucleotide small nuclear RNA. Lineage: Eukaryota; Metazoa; Chordata; Mammalia; Sirenia; Trichechidae. The record is from RefSeq and is a predicted model, not a curated record.
GUGCUUGCUUCCACAGCACAUUUACUAAAACUGGAUGAUACAGAGAAGAUUAACGUGGCCCCUGUGUAAGGAUGACACACAAAUUCAUGAAGCAUUCCAUAUUUUU